CAGCUUUCCCUAAGGUUGGUCAGUGAGAUGAAGGAAUGAAUUCAAGCAAGAGUCAGCAUGGCAGGCCCCUACUUCCAAUAAUAUAUAGAAGGAAACCAACAGCUUUUUCAGGGGAGGGCCAGCUUGCUGUUUCCCUAAAGUUUCAGCUGGGCCACUGCAAUAACCAUUGAAAGUUUUAGAACGUGGUGGUGAGGAGUCAUAUAAGAACAUGGCAGCUUUCUUGAUUGGCAUAUGGCUACAGUGAAAGUAUUGUUUACAGAUAACCUGCUUUUGAUGAGAAAUAUAAUUGGUGAGAUGUAGCUGUUCUGGAAUUUGGGAGAGACCCUUGAGGAGACUACAUGACUAGCAAAGUAUAAAAGCUAAAGAGACCUUGGAAUUGAUAUUGGUGCAUGCUCACUCACCCUGCUUUCUGGUAACACACAUUCCAAAUGUGGAGUGACUUGGGGUAUUCAGAAGUUGCUCUCUGACCUUCACUCUGCUUUCACCAUGCAUAUUGUGUGUUUCCUGCCCUGUUUCUUAUA
This is a long non-coding RNA of Cynocephalus volans (Philippine flying lemur), 521 nucleotides long. RefSeq lists it as uncharacterized. Lineage: Eukaryota; Metazoa; Chordata; Mammalia; Dermoptera; Cynocephalidae. The record is from RefSeq and is a predicted model, not a curated record. The transcript is spliced from 4 exons.